This 500-nucleotide ribosomal RNA is filed under the name uncultured dinoflagellate. RNAcentral's name for it is "SSU rRNA". It matches the Rfam family "Eukaryotic small subunit ribosomal RNA", at positions 33 to 536 of the family's 1831-position model. The record is from RNAcentral. Lineage: Eukaryota; Dinophyceae.
AUGUCUCAAGAUUAGCCAUGCAUGUCUCAGUAUAAGCUUCUAUACGGCGAAACUGCGAAUGGCUCAUUAAAACAGUUAUAGUUUAUUUGGUGGUCAGCAAUUACAUUGAUAACCGUGGUAAUUCUAGAGCUAAUACAUGCGCCCAAACCCGACUUCGUGGAAGGGUUGUGUUUAUUAGAUACAGAACCAACCCAGGCUCCGCCUGGCCUUGAGGUGAUUCAUAAUAACCGAACGAAUCGCAUGGCUAUGCCGGCGAUAGACCAUUCAAGUUUCUGACCUAUCAGCUAUCGUCGGUAGGGUAUUGGCCUACCGUGGCAAUGACGGGUAACGGAGAAUUAGGGUUCGAUUCCGGAGAGGGAGCCUGAGAAACGGCUACCACAUCUAAGGAAGGCAGCAGGCGCGCAAAUUACCCAAUCCUGACGCAGGGAGGUAGUGACAAGAAAUAACAAUACAGGGCAUACAUGUCUUGUAAUUGGAAUGAGUAAACUUUAAAUCACUUU